RNAcentral lists this ribosomal RNA (253 nucleotides) under uncultured bacterium. RNAcentral describes it as "partial 16S ribosomal RNA". It matches the Rfam family "Bacterial small subunit ribosomal RNA", at positions 524 to 776 of the family's 1533-position model. The record is from RNAcentral.
GACGGGGGAUGCAAGCGUUAUCCGGAAUCACUGGGCGUAAAGCGUCUGUAGGUGGUGAUGCAAGUCACUGGAGCAAAACUCUGGCUCAACCGGAGGAAAGCCAGUGAAACUGCAUGACUAGAGUGUGGGAGUGGUAGAAGGAAUUGCCUGAGUAGCGGUGAAAUGCGUAGAUACAGGGAAGAACACCGGAGGCGAAAGCGUUCUACUGGAACACAACUGACACUGAGAGACGAAAGCUAGGGGAGCGAAGGGG